Pseudopipra pipra is the source of this 4421-nucleotide long non-coding RNA. RefSeq lists it as uncharacterized. The transcript has 5 exons. The record is from RefSeq and is a predicted model, not a curated record. NCBI's taxonomy places the organism in Eukaryota, Metazoa, Chordata, Aves, Passeriformes, Pipridae.
GAUCCUACAGAGAACAGAAGAAUAGACUAAACAGCAAGGAUGUAACUGGUGACCAAGGGAAGCUGAGAAAAAAUAAAAAGAACAGAGGUUAUGAAAGACAGAUAUAUGGAAAAGCUGUGGCAGCUACUGUGUUCUCUGUACAGUCUCCACUGCUAAUCUCCCGUGCUUUGGGGAAGAUUUCAGCAAGAAGCACUGGUGAGCACAAAGCACAGGGAGGAAAGGGUGCUUAAUUUUAAUACUGGAGCAGAGGUCUUUGAAAAUGGGAGAAGAGCUCCCUGAAGCCACACUCAGUGAGCAGGAAACAUAACAGACAUUGUCCUUUGUCAUGAGAGUCUCCCAAAGACUUUGGCUAAAAACUGCAACCAGGAAAGAACUAACAAAGCAACGCAAGCAGAGCAGAGGAGCGAGUCUACCUCUGUCUCUCCCAGCAACUCGUGCUUGUUUCCAGCUUGCUCUUCAUUACAGCUCUUUUCAGGCAGGACAGCAGUUCCCUCUCCACGAUUUAGUAACUCUGCAGGACCACCAUGCCAUGGACCUGCCCCUCUGUCAUUAAAUCCCACCAACUGGUAAACUUAUUUACGUGUCAAAUAUUUCAGCCUUCCAGGAUGACAAUCACCAGAAGACUAUGUAGCUAUUAUUGUGUUUUGACCCACAGUUGAGAACAUUUCUUCAAGCUGAGAAGGCAGACGCAAAUCACUUGCCUUUUUCUUUUUUCCUCUAGAUGCAGGCUGGAGACCCUCCCUGCUGCAAGGCCACAGCAGCACAUGCCACAUUGUGAUUAGAGACUCCUGGAACAACAAUCAUUCAGCGCCACCCUCGCUGCCAAUGUUAGGGGGUGAUAACAGCAAGGCUUUUUCCCUCUGCAAAUGUAUGUGACUUUGCUGAGUUAAUUAAAACAUGGAAGAGGAGGACCAGCAGUAGACACAGACACUAAAUUCAUUCAAGAGGCCAGCAUCAGUGAAUGCUGCUGCUGCUUUCAGCUUCAUCUCCUCCACUGAAAGGUGGAAGCAAAGGCUUGUCAACCUUUUAAACUUACUUUGAUUCACUUUCCAGGGUGCAAACAUUAAGUAGAAGCACCAAGUCAGCUUUCAGAAUAAGACUUAGCUUUGCAAGCAGCAUGAGAUCCAGACCAUUUUCUCUUUUAAAGGAGGAUGUAACUUGCUCUGUUUUACCUCGUGCAAAAUUAAGUUUAUUUUCCUUUUCCUUCCCCCGACAAAAUAGACUGCUCAAGCUGUAUUACUAUCUGUGCAUGAAAAUGCAGAAGAAAUGUGUCAGGAGCUUGAAGAGAAAUAAAGACAUGAUGCAAAAUAUGAAAAGAUUGGUUCCUUCAUCUAAGGGACAGAAAAAAAAUGCUCUGGGAUAAUUGUAAUGCAUAAAUGAAAGCAAUAUCUAAAAUGCUGGUUCCCUUUGUUAGAAAUGUUGAAGAAAAAUUUCCUCCGUGCCUGGGAGAUUAAAUCAAAGCUGUGUCAAAGUAGGUGUUCUGGAGCCCCUGUGUGCAACUGAGCCACUCAGGACAGCAAGGGUGGAACACACAAGGCUGCUGGUAGUCUGUAAAACCAGGGGGUUUUGAGAGGAAUAUUCUGCUGUUAGACUCCAGGUAGUAUUUUCCUGUACUAGUUUCUGGGUGCAACCUGCAUUUGCUUCUUUGCAACUUUCUAUUAAAACAGUUUGGCUCGUAAUCCCUAAUUUUAGGAAUACUUGUAUCCAUUUAGUGUAUUCUUUUGGAAAAUGUGAAGGAAACAGAGAGCCUGGAUUGUCUUCCCUGGACAGCUCAUCCUCAGAGUAGAUCUCGGAUAUCCUUGGGAAUACCAGAUGAGGAUACCAGUAUUCUGUAGGUGUACUCAGCCUGUUUAUCUCCUCCUAAGCCCAGCUGUGACUUUCUAUUCUUUGGAAAUAAAACUGAAAUCAAAAGCUACCUCAGUUAUUUGCUAAAAACUCUAAUUAUCCUCUGUUUCAGUCAAGUUCUUUGACUUUUCAUCUUCAAGAUUGCAGCAGAAAAUUCUUUUGUGGCUCAUAUUCUCUCUAUCAGUUACCAGUAUUCAGAAGCCCCUGACAUUUUUUUGUUAUCAGAGAGGGUAGGUUUGUAAUUUUUUUCUUGAUUUUGCUCUUAUUUUCUCUCUCGCAUUUACAGUCAUUCAGUGUCAAUGAAAAAAUUAUUUCCAAAUAGAGCUUGGCAAUGGCCAUUAAACUGGAAGUAUCUAAAGUAUUUUAAAAAAAUUUAAAAAACUAGUCUGUUCAUUUUUCACUAUCUAGAAAGUUAAGUCAAAGAAGUUCUAUCAAAUAUUUGGAAUAAAUGUAGAGAACAGGAUUUAGGGUGGAUAUUUAAUUUAUAACAACAGCUGUGUAAUCAGAAUGCAUGAAAAAUUACAACCCAAAAAGAGGGCACAAUCUUAGCAAGUAUUUAUCUUUUUUUUUUUUUUUUUUUUUUAAUAAUUAGACCUUGCUCAAAAACUUAUUUGUGCUUUUCCAGGAGACAGCAAUUUUUGUUGGUGACAGGACAUUUUCUAACAUUUGAGAUAUCUAAAAUUUUAUGCCAGGAGACCUAAAAAGGAAGUAACUUGGUCUUGCCUUUUUCCAAGUCAUCCUGCCUACAAAGUGUUUACUCUUGAUUAUGUUAUUUUGAGUUAGGGUUUUUGCCUGGGCAAGGUACAAGCAGAGAUAACGUCUCUGUUACUUUUCCAGACUCCAAAGGUUUUUCCUUUCUCCCCUCUGCAACACAUUUUGAGGUUCUUGCCUUAUUCACUGUUCCAAGUGCUUUGGGUUUCAGCUAAUUUUCUUCAGAUUCAUAGCUGGUAUAAUAGUUAUGAGGGGUGUGCCUUUAGAAUUAAUGUGGACAACUCAAACUAACCAGACUUUUACUGGGAAUUAAGCCCCUUGGUGGCAUCCACUCAAUAUAUUGAUUGUGCCCAUUGGAAUGGGCACAGCAAUAAGCAAGUCUCAACCACUUGGCCCAGACGAACAGGGUUUCCUUGAUUCUUGUUUUUACUGUUUUAUUGGGCUUUUUCUCUCUAGAUGUUAUUGCUAAUCCAUUAAAUAAACUUGGUAAAGUAGAAGGGAAGCACAGGGAGAGAGCACAGGUCAAAAACAGUACCAGUGGCAAUUUCCAGAUAAUUUUUCCAUGCUGAGCAUAAAUGGUAAGCAGAGAACUGAUGUGCUUGCUGUGCAGCUGUCACCUUGUCUAGGAAUAUAUGUAGGGACAAAGACCAGUAAAUGCCCUGACACCUCUUAAGAGGCAUAUUUUGUGUAGAAGGAUAUUAGCAAUUCAAAAGCUAAACUGGGAUCUAAGCAAGGUCAUUGGCUGGUCAGACAGUUUAUUUUUGACCUAAGCAGUGUUUAAUUUAAGAAGCAGAAGGACUGGGAUAAGUAGGUACAAACCUAAAAGGGCAGCUGGCUGCUGGGUGAUGUUGAAGCUGAGUCAUCCUAAAGGGCAGCCCAUUUGUACUCUCACCCAAGAGAGAAGAAAGGUGAAGACCAGAAUGAUAGAUAGGACGCCCUCCCCAACACUAUAAUGCUUCGUGUCAGUGAACUCAAGCCAUUUCUGUGCCAAUAGGAGGGAAAGAAAAAAAGGAAAGGCAAAUAGAGAAAGAUAUAAAUUUUAAAUAAAACCUGCCUAUGUAUACAUGCAAAUUAGCUGAAACCCUUGGUGUGUCCAACUAAAAGGAAUGUUUUAAAAAUUGUAAUCUGUUUUCUGUAAAAUUUCUUAAUUCCAGUAUGUAUUACAAAUAUAUGCAGUGUGAAUAAAAUCUAAGUUGUCUCGUAACAUCUCAGGAGGGAGACUAAUGAACAAUCUUAGUAUGGCUUUCUUAUAAAUAAAACAUGCUACUCUGUUUUGUUUAGGGUUUAAGUCCUCAGCUCUGUGCUAGUGGCUGGAAUAAUUAGGUUCUGUUUUGAAGGUCAUGAUUUUUCUUUUAAUAUAAACAUGAAUUUGUCACUUUGGAAAAGAAACUUUCUUCUGUUUUAGUGAAUAUUUUUUUCCAUAGUUUGAACCUCUUGGAUAUCCCUGCUCUGUUUCUUGUCAAGUCUAGUUUCCUCAUCCUACACUAGCAUCAAAAGUGUGCUUCUGAGGAGGAGCUUUUGUCUGCCUCAGAAGAGUUGCUGUCUUUUCUAUUUCAGCUUAGGUUUCCCUGAUAGCCCUCCCUCUUCUACCGUAGGCACAGAGGUGCUGUUGCAAUACUUAAAAGCAGUAUCUAAUAGAUCAGGUGUGACAGAACUUCCCUAAACCACUGUAAAAAGCUUUUUGCCCAAUUCCCUCCUGAAAUAUCAUUGAAGUGGUGUUUGACAGAUUUGUGUAGCUAUAAAAGCUCUCAAUUGCUAUUAUUACACAAGUCUCUGAAAAUAUAUUGAUAGGCUUAAGUCUCCAUAUUUCUGAUUCCACCUACUAAACAGAGCCCAGGCUAUAUUUCUGGCUGACUAUCUUUCUC